UUGGGAUGGUUCUUCUCUGGCAGUCGGGCCACAGUUGUCAGACCCAUCUUCUUGGUCAUGUCCAAACCCAGCUCCAUGCCAGAGUUUACGCAGGGUAUUCCUCGGCCAACCUCCUCCGCCACGCGGGUCGCCGCCUCCGCUGCUGCGUGGGCCCUGCGGCUCGGGAAUAGCAACCAGCUCGCGAUAAAUUUGGAAUCUGGCAACCACGUCCGAGAUCUUCUCCCACCAUUGCAGUUUAGCGCGAUCUUCGCAACAGAACGCGUGGAAUCCUCCGACCGCGGCGAGAUUGGGUGGGAGAGAGAUCCUGGACGUCGCAAAAUCACCUCGUUCCGUCAGCAGCGGAAACCAAAGUCAGGAUUCCGUUAUGCUUCGCGGGAGAGAGAAGUCGUGAUUACAGUCGAGCAUGGAGCCACGGGCAUUCCCCCACCCAACCGCGGCAUCUGCCAGUCUGCGACACUGCCGCCCCAGCAGUGGGGCAAACACUGUCGUCGGCGCCUUGGAGCUUUGGAUUGGCUGGGCGCGCGACCGGCCUCUGUCUCCAGGCUGCGAGGCAGCAGCAACCUCCUUCGCUGGCUGAUGACCGUCUUCGCCGCGGAUCCAACUCCCAACGUGGUCGGCUUGCUUCCCGUCGUCACCAUUGGUGAGUUCCCUGUACAAUUAUUCACCAGCAUCACCGCGACGGGUAGUGCCAUUAGUAUCAAUGUUUAG
This 708-nucleotide unclassified non-coding RNA is filed under the name Zea mays. RNAcentral describes it as "misc RNA Zm00001eb185810". Lineage: Eukaryota; Viridiplantae; Streptophyta; Magnoliopsida; Poales; Poaceae. The record is from RNAcentral.